RNAcentral lists this transfer RNA (68 nucleotides) under Lingula anatina. RNAcentral describes it as "tRNA-Leu". The record is from RNAcentral. Lineage: Eukaryota; Metazoa; Brachiopoda; Lingulata; Lingulida; Lingulidae.
GCCAGGGUGGCAGAUUUAAUGCAGUGGAUUUAAGACCCACCUAUGGGCUAAAAUUAGCCCUCCUGGUU